RNAcentral lists this ribosomal RNA (520 nucleotides) under uncultured bacterium. RNAcentral describes it as "bacterial SSU rRNA". It matches the Rfam family "Bacterial small subunit ribosomal RNA", at positions 8 to 526 of the family's 1533-position model. The record is from RNAcentral.
AGAGUUUGAUCAUGGCUCGGGACGAACGCUGGCGGCGUGCCUAACACAUGCAAGUCGAGCGAAGUAUUUUGGAAGGAAGUUUUCGGACGGACUGAAAAGAUAUCUUAGCGGCGGACGGGUGAGUAACGCGUGAGGAACCUGCCUUCCACAAAGGGAUAGCCUCGGGAAACUGGGAUUAAUACCUUAUGACACUAGACUACCACAUGAUAGACUAGUCAAAGCGUAAAGCGGUGGAAGAUGGUCUCGCGUCCCAUUAGUUAGUUGGUGAGGUAACGGCUCACCAAGACCGCGAUGGGUAGCCGGCCUGAGAGGGUGAACGGCCACACUGGAACUGAGACACGGUCCAGACUCCUACGGGAGGCAGCAGUGGGGAAUAUUGCACAAUGGAGGAAACUCUGAUGCAGCGACGCCGCGUGAACGAUGAAGGCCUUCGGGUCGUAAAGUUCUGUCCUUGGGGACAUAAUGACGGUACCUUAGGAGGAAGCCCCGGCUAACUACGUGCCAGCAGCCGCGGUAAUCU